UACGUAGGGGGCGAGCGUUGUCCGGAGUUACUGGGCGUAAAGGGCAUGCAGGCGGUCCGACACGUUUUGUGUGACAGCGGGUGGCUUAACUACCCGAGGAUACGAAAGACGGUUGGACUUGAGGACUCGAGAGGGACACGGAAUUCCUGGUGUAGCGGUGAAAUGCGCAGAUAUCAGGAAGAACACCCGUGGCGAAGGCGGUUCUCUGGGACGGUACUGACGCUGAGACGCGAAAGCGUGGGGAGCGAACAGG
This 253-nucleotide ribosomal RNA is filed under the name uncultured bacterium. RNAcentral describes it as "partial 16S ribosomal RNA". It matches the Rfam family "Bacterial small subunit ribosomal RNA", at positions 524 to 776 of the family's 1533-position model. The record is from RNAcentral.